Molecule: ribosomal RNA, 918 nt
Filed under: uncultured Actinomycetes bacterium
Lineage: Bacteria; Bacillati; Actinomycetota; Actinomycetes
Description: bacterial SSU rRNA
Rfam family: Bacterial small subunit ribosomal RNA
Source: RNAcentral
AGAGUUUGAUCAUGCUCAGACGAACGCUGCGCGCGCUUAACACAUGCAAGUCGAGCGAGAACCAGUCUUCGGCCCCGGGACAGCGGCGAACGGUGAGUAACACGUGAGUAAUCUGCCCUCGAUUCCGGGAUAGCCCGCGGAAACCCGGAUUAAUACCGGGAUAGCCUGACUGCUCCUCGAGCCAGCGAGAAAAGGUAGCUUCGGCCUCCGAUCGAGGACGAGCUCGCGGCGGAUUAGCUUGUUGGUGGGGUAAUGGCCCACCAAGGCGACGACCUGUAGCUGGUCUGAGAGGACGAUCAGCCACACUGGGACUGAGACACGGCCCAGACUCCUACGGGAGGCAGCAGUGGGGAAUCUUGCGCAAUGGGCGAAAGCCUGACGCAGCGACGCCGCGUGGGGGAAGAAGGCCUUCGGGUUGUAAACCUCUUUCAGCAGGGACGAGGCCACUCGGGUGAAUAGCCCAGAGGGUGACGGUACCUCCAGAAGAAGCCCCGGCUAACUACGUGCCAGCAGCCGCGGUAAUACGUAGGGGGCAAGCGUUGUCCGGAUUUAUUGGGCGUAAAGAGCGUGUAGGCGGCCAGACAGGUCCGUUGUGAAAACUGGAGGCUUAACCUCCAGACGUCGAUGGAAACCGUAUGGCUAGAGUCCGGAAGAGGAGAAUGGAAUUCCUGGUGUAGCGGUGAAAUGCGCAGAUAUCAGGAAGAACACCCGUGGCUAAGGCGGUUCUCUGGUACGGUACUGACGCUGAGACGCGAAAGCGUGGGGAGCGAACAGGAUUAGAUACCCUGGUAGUCCACGCCGUAAACGAUGGGUGCUAGGUGUGGGGGGUGUCGACUCCCUCCGUGCCGCAGCUAACGCAUUAAGCACCCCGCCUGGGGAGUACGGCCGCAAGGCUAAAACUCAAAUGAAUUGACGGGG